AAUCGCUUUUGGAUUAUUUAUUUUCAUGUAUUUCCCUACAAUUUUACCAAGUUUCAUCAAAAUCGGAGAACUAGGGGACAACUUUGAUUUUUUAGGCAUGAAUUCACCCUACUGAAUACUUAAAUUCUCCAAUUCUUUAAUUGGGUUCAUCUAAAAGAUUAAAUACAACGAUGUUUAAUCUUUAGAAAAUAAAAUUUAAAUUUAAUAAGUAUAGUUUUGUCAAGAUUGAAAUUCGUUUUUUAAAUAUGAAGAGCUACAAAUGAAAAUGUGUUAAUAAAGGGAGCGGGAAAGGUUCUCCCUUUUAACUUGUCUCCACGCCAUCUGACUGCUCAUAAAAUCAAAGACAAAUUGUCGGAGGGAUAUGUAAUAGAUUAAUUAUCUUACAUUUGUAGAUAAUAAAAAUGCAGGUUUUAAAAGUUUUCCAUUAACUCGAUUCUAUUUUUCCAUUAGAUUUCUUUUCCACUCUUCACAAUAUUUAAAUGAUUUUUGGGGUUUAAAAAGGCCAGAUCAUUUGUUUUUUAGUCAGUUCUCUUAGAAUUUUUGAAACGAUACAAUCGAGAAAAAUAAGAAAAAGAAAUGGAAUCCAAAAGUUCUAGUAGUCUGGACGAAAUGAUAAUUUCAAUAAAUUAAUUGCUGAGUUAUUAGGUAAUGAAGCGAUAAAUCAAUUAAUAAAUAUAACUGAAAGUGAUGUUGUGGAUGAGUCUACGAGUGAAGUGCAAAUAAUUGCACCUGGUGAAAACCAAUCACCUUUAAACAGUGAAAGAAGGAACACGAAACGAACGACUAUUGUGCCAAUAAAAAAUACCACAAAUAGUGGAUGUCAAAUUUCUCAAGAUAAUCAAAUUGAAUAUAUUUUUCCUCUCCUCCCAAAAGAUUUGCAACAUAGAUGGCGUGUAAGAUCCACAUACGUCUUGGAAAAAAUAAAUAGAGGAUUUAUUAUCUAUAUAAUAAUAAAUCAGAAGAAAAUUUUUCUACCACGAUGGUGGUCUUUAUUUGAAAUCGAGGUUCAACAUGAUUUGUAUUUGGAGGUAUUGAAACAAAUAGAUGAGUAGACAAUAGACGGUGUUUUUGAAAUAAGAAAGGUGUAUUGUUGGAUCAAAGAUAAUACAUUAUGUAGGGUUGAAAAUGAAUAUAUUACUUGUGUGAGAAAUUUAAGAUUUAUAAAAAUUUUACCCAAAUUAGAAACACCAAAUGGAAUGUUUGUAUUACCGGAAAGGUUUUGUUGUUUUCCAUAGUUCAUUAUAAAACUUUUUAAAGAGACAGUAAUUAAGAGAUUAGAUGAAAAUAAUGAAGUUUUUUAUUACCAAAAUACAGCCUUCCAAAUAAUUGAGAAUACCAUAAUAGAGUAUUUCGAGGGAUUAAAACCAAAAAAAGAAAGCUUUUAUAAUAAAUAUAUUUUUUUAAAUGAAAAUUAAUUUUGCCUUAUUGUUUCAUAAAUUUUAAUAAAUUAUUGAUUAAAGUGAGUUAACUGUAUGUUUUUUAAUAUGUAAAGAGAAUAUUGUAUAUACUAAUUUUGUGAAGAACAAUAAUAAAUAUAUUUUAUAUCUA
Molecule: long non-coding RNA, 1548 nt
Organism: Leptopilina boulardi
Lineage: Eukaryota; Metazoa; Arthropoda; Insecta; Hymenoptera; Figitidae
Exons: 3
Source: RefSeq, a predicted model, not a curated record